UGGACAAUCAAGAGUAAAUUUCUAAAUUCCAUGAGGUAACCACAACUCAAAUAAGUUAGAACACAAAACGUAAAUUUGGAUAUUCUCUCCUCAAUCAUCUUGUGUUAGAAAUUUUGUUCCACCGAAACACAGUUCUCUUCAAUUAGAAAUCACAGAUAACCAUCUCCCAAACUCACAAUGGACUUAUUUACCAAGCAUCUCAGCACAAGGGACUUAGUUACCAAACAAUGCUAAAGCUUUUGAAUGAUAGAAUCCAGCUCCCGUAUAUCUGCUGCUCUAAAGAAGCAAUACUCUCAUUAUGCCAAAAACAUCAAUUGUAACAAGUUUGUAACUUAGGUUACAAUUCUACCAACAUCCUAGUAUCAUACCAAAGAAUCCCUCUUGCAAAACUCAAGUUCAGAUAAAACAUUCGUAUGUUUGAAUAGAAAGAACAAAAACUGUAGCUGCUUUUAAUUUGGAGGAAGACAUGAGAAGACAUCAGAUCAAGACUGCCUCCAAUCGUGAUAAGAAGCUAAAAAAUAUAGGCACCAUGCAAAAGGUAGCUCUGCUGUUUCUUAUAAACCCAACAAGCACCCGUGUCUGACUUAAUGCCAUCUCCAAAAACCCAACAACAAGUACUCUAAAACCCAUCAUUAUCACCACAAGAAAAACAAAACCAAAGAAUCUAUAUAAUAUGUAGCCAAGAGUAUUGAAUCAUGAAACUAUUGAGAAAUAAGUUUCAUGGGUCUUCCUCUGGCAUUUAAUCUGGGCUCCAAGCGGCAGUCAGGUCACCAUUAAAAGUGGCGCCUGCUGUUGACUCGUUAAAAAUGGAGCCUUUCUCGCAAAACAAAAACAUUCGAAAAGGCACAGAUCUAUAAGAAGAAGUUUCAAACGAAAAGAGAUGAUUGAUGCGGUGAGAGAGAUAAAUUUGAGAUUAUAU
This 919-nucleotide long non-coding RNA is filed under the name Arabidopsis lyrata. Its description in RNAcentral is "long non-coding RNA (ALYR_LNC002178)". The record is from RNAcentral. Lineage: Eukaryota; Viridiplantae; Streptophyta; Magnoliopsida; Brassicales; Brassicaceae.